Molecule: long non-coding RNA, 425 nt
Organism: Empidonax traillii (willow flycatcher)
Lineage: Eukaryota; Metazoa; Chordata; Aves; Passeriformes; Tyrannidae
Exons: 3
Source: RefSeq, a predicted model, not a curated record
GCGGGCUGGCCCUGGAAAUGGAGGGGUCUGGCGUAAAAAUCGGUGUAAAGCCGUGCAAAAUCGAUGGGAAAUAGGGCAAAAUGAACGUGAAACAGCGCAAAAUCAGUGGGAAACAGUGCAACAGUGGUAUAAACCCGUACAGAAACUGGGGUGAGCCCAUGCAGAAUCUAUGUGUAACAGGGCAAAAUCUAUGUAAAACUGGUGUGAAACAGCGCAAAACUGGUGUAAACCCGUGUAAAAUCAUUGGGAAACAGUGCAACAGUGGUAUAAACCCGUGCAGAAACUGGGGUGAGCCCAUGCAGAAUCUAUGUGUAACAGUGCAAAAUCUAUGUAAAACUGGUGUAAACCAGCGCAAAACUGGUGUAAACCCGUGCAAAAUCCAUGUAAAACGGUGCAAAAUUGGUGUAAGACUGGCAUAAACCAGU